Molecule: ribosomal RNA, 446 nt
Filed under: uncultured soil bacterium
Lineage: Bacteria
Description: bacterial SSU rRNA
Rfam family: Bacterial small subunit ribosomal RNA
Source: RNAcentral
AGAGUGAACGCUGGCGGCAGGCCUAACACAUGCAAGUCGAACGGCAGCACAGGAGAGCUUGCUCUCUGGGUGGCGAGUGGCGGACGGGUGAGGAAUACGUCGGAAUCUGCCUAUUUGUGGGGGAUAACGUAGGGAAACUUACGCUAAUACCGCACACGACCUACGGGUGAAAGCGGAGGACCUUCGGGCUUCGCGCAGAUAGAUGAGCCGACGUCGGAUUAGCUAGUUGGCGGGUAAAGCCCACCAAGGCGACGAUCCGUAGCUGGUCUGAGAGGAUGAUCAGCCACACUGGAACUGAGACACGGUCCAGACUCCUACGGGAGCAGCAGUGGGGAAUAUUGGACAAGUGGGCGCAAGCCUGAUCCAGCCAUGCCGCGUGUGUGAAGAGCCUUGGUUGUAAGCUACGUUUGUAACGGAAGAAAGCUCGUAGGUUAACUACCCGUGGA